Molecule: long non-coding RNA, 337 nt
Organism: Dreissena polymorpha
Lineage: Eukaryota; Metazoa; Mollusca; Bivalvia; Myida; Dreissenidae
Exons: 3
Source: RefSeq, a predicted model, not a curated record
GUCACUGCGACACGUGCCAUCACGUCACUGGAUCGUGCGUAGAGUCUCUUCAAUGCCAUGAUGGGUACAAUAUGGACAAUGGUUUCUGUACACCCCACGAACGUACUACCUUGAGCGUGGUCGGAGUUGUUUGUGGUUGCCUUGCAGCUGUUGUUACCAUAAUUGGAAUUACUUUACUAACCGUAUAUUACAAGCGGCGACAACUUCAUUCCGCAAAAGGUCAUACUAAAUUAUCUACACCGGAUCAGAAAGAGACACGUUUCAACAAGGGAUUCGAUCAUAGCGAUCGGGCUAAUGAUGGCAAAAACGUCUUCGUACAAGAGAAAGCAGAAGUCGC